Nanorana parkeri is the source of this 230-nucleotide long non-coding RNA. RefSeq lists it as uncharacterized. The transcript is spliced from 3 exons. The record is from RefSeq and is a predicted model, not a curated record. NCBI's taxonomy places the organism in Eukaryota, Metazoa, Chordata, Amphibia, Anura, Dicroglossidae.
GGUUAAUGUGAAGAGGGGGGCAUACAAGGGGGAGGAGAAUGGGCACAUAAGAGGAUGUGUGUCUGUAAUCACAGGAUCAGAAGCUAUUUGUCUCUUGCCAGGUGUGAUCUCUAGCUGUUGUGAACAUGAAGCUAAUCCUUGCAAUCUCUGUUGUGAUUGUUGCUCUCUCUGUGUUAGCAGGGCCCAGCUCUGCUCACGCAGAAGAGUCAGUAGUGAAAGAGAAAUUCGAU